UCAAUGAAGCUCCUCUCUGCCUUGCUCACCCUCCACUUGUCCGUGUACCUCAUUCUUGUCGUGGAACAAGACCCUGGGACCCAGUGAAUGGUGGGACUGAAAGAGCGGUAACACAAACAGGGCUGAAACAUGCCCACCGCUCGCCACUUUGUGGGCGACGAGGAGAAACGAACUGCUGUGGCCCUUCAGGAAUCCCAGACCUAGAGACUCCUGAGCCAGGGCUGUGACACCCUCUUUGGGGCUCCGCAGUUUCUGGUGUCUCCAAGCUUCCGGGUGCCAUCGUAUUUCCCAGUGCCUGCAGUGGAAGCCAUUUGUGGUAACGCCUGGUCCAGCCAGUCUCACACGGAACCCACGCCUGUGCUGGCGCCUGGAGCUGCCUGCCCAGUGGCAGCAAGCACGCAUGGCUGUGUGCAGUGGCCAGACCCCAUGCUUAUUAACACACCCCUUGCUACUCCUCACCAGGCUCGCCCUUGGCAGGUGUGGGAUCCAGGUCAGUAUUAUGAGCCAAAUACAGCCUGCUGGGGCGAGUGAGCAGAAGAGGCCAGCGGGCCCGUGUAAAACUCAGGCAAAGGCACCACCAGCCGCAGAGGUUUCCAACUGAAAAAGUGACACGGUUUGAUCUUCGCAGUGGCCUGUGGCUAAGACUGAUAUUAAAGGAAGAAUUAAAAUCCUGAAUCAAUCAUGAACUUUAAAGUUAAGAUGAAUUCAAGGAUAUCAAACUUGACUGCAUAAGAGAGUAUCAUGUUUGGAGAGAAGAAAUAAUUUUAUUGCGAGACACAAAGUGGUGUCUGUCACUUAAAUCCUUCACCAAUCUACCUCCUGUACUCGUGGAAAAAAAGGAAUCAGGAAGAGAGCAGCAGAAACCCAGGGGUUACCUGAGGAUAAUUUAGGUCUUUAUUAUGUACAUUCUCAGCUCACCACUGUGCAGAAUUGGUAUGGAAAUCAAUUCAGAUAAGGAACAUACAACUCUGGAGAACUGACUAAAUGUUGUUUUACUAAGAAAAAUGUGAUCACAUCACUUUUCUACCUAAAUUUCUUCAAAAUUUCUACAAAGCUCUGAGAAUAAAACUCUCUCAGCAUAGCUAGCAAGACGAUGCAUGAUCUUCCUAGCUACCUACUAGGCCGUCCUUAUCUCAAACCUCUGCCCCUUAAGCUCCAUCUGAGAAUACCAGUCUUCUUUUAGUCUCUCUUGUAUGUUAUUUGUCUUAUCUUUUGCUGCUUUCAGAACUUUUUCUUUGUCCUAAUUUUUUUAUAGUUUGAUUACUUUGUGCUGUGGCUAAUUCCAAAAAAGGUUAAAUUUGAUUGGAGAACUCUGGCCUUCCUAUAUCUGGAUAUUGGCAUCUUUUCCCAGAUUUGGGAAGUUUUCAACCAUUAUUUAUUUAAAUUUGCCUUUUCCUUCUGAAAUUCUUAUACAAAAAUUAAGUCUCCUAAUAGUGUCCCAUAUUAUCAAAAGCUUUCUUUGUUCUUUUUAUUUUUUUUCCUUUUGAUUCUUCUGACUGGAUAAUUUCAUAUGUUCUGUCUUCCAGCUGAUACUUCUGCUCGAUUGAGCUUGUCAAUGAAGCUUUCUCUUGCAUGUUUUUAGUUCAAUCAUUUCAAUCUUCAUCUCUAGAAUUUCUAUUUGUGUUUUUUUAAUUGUUUCUAUUUCUUUGUUGAAUUUCUCAUUUGUGCAUGUAUUGUAUUCCAAAGCGCACUUAAUUUUUUUUCCAUAUGUUUUUGUAGUUCACUAAACUUCAGGAGGAUUAUUCUGAAUUCUUUGUUAUUUUGGAGAGUUUCAUUACUUCAGGGUCAGUCACUGGACUUUUGCUAUAUUCUUUUGGAGGUGUCGUGAUUUCUUCAGUUUUUAUACUCCUGUUUCCUUGUGUUGGUGUCUGCAUAUUUGAGGAAACAACCAUCUCUUCAGGCUUUUUCAGAUGUUCCUUGGCAGGAAUAGCCUUCUCUAUUUAGCCUACAAUUCUAGUUGGGCCAGUUGGUAAUAACCCUGGGCAGGCAGGGCUUUCUUUUUGGUUCCCUAGAUAGUUGUGCCACUGCCUUUGCUCUCAUUGGAUGCAGCUGCUGGCUGAGUUUUGCUCUCAGCCAAAACUGCUAGCUGAGCUCUGCAAUCAUGUGGAGCUCAUAGCUGGUCACUGCAAUCACCUCUGACUGAGUGAGGCUACAGGGUGUAUUCUCUGGCCAGGUGGUACUGCUAUUUGAGAUCUGCAGUUUGAUAGAGUUCUAAGGCCUUACAGUUAGGGAAUGUCACUACUUGGAUGGAUGAGAUGAGCUGCUGUGCUCAGUAGAAAUGCACAGUUGAGGUUUACAAACCUGCCUAGGUAGGACUUACUGCUGGGCUAUAAGGCUGAGCUAAGCACAUUUAAACUCCAGGAUGUGACCAAACUAACCCAUGCUCUUUGCUGAAAUGUACAAUGGUGGUCAUCUCCUUUCCUGAGUGAGGUCUUGAGGUCUAUUUAAACUCCAAGAUAUCAGAACUCGCCCCUGCUUUUGACAAAUUGCUUUGCAGCAAACAAUUAUUUCCUGCAAAGGGCCUUGAGUAAAGUUUGAAGAUGGGCCUUGAGGCUGGCAGUCUAGGAAUUCAAGCCAGUUAGAACUUCCCACUACUUCUGGGAGUGAUCAUCUCAGCUUUGUAGAUGUGCUAGGCUGCUGGUUGUCAUCUUAGAUUAGGUACCACCAUAGGCAGUUACACUGAGCUACCUACCACUGGGGCCUGUGAGCUGGCUGAUGUGAACUCCACCUCUUUGCUUUGUUUUUACCUGAUUUCAGGUGGUCUAGCCCUGUCAUUAACUCCUCGGUUCCUCAUAAAGUGAGAUAGGAGUGAGCUCCCUGGGAAACAUCUGGAAACACUACGGAAGCUGGAUGUCUGCUUCCAGUUCUCUUUCCCACUGAAAAAGCCUUGAGCCCUUGGAAAUCCUCUCUGGGACUGUGCCAACUUUGGUGAGAGAGAAGGGUGGUGUGGUUAAAAAGACCAUUUAUUCUCUUACCCUUUCUUGCAGAGUUUAUUCAGUUCCAUGGUCCACACAGGUAUCUCAGGCUUAUUCCUGAGUUUUUGGGUUUCCACAGGUAUGUUCUUGAUUGUGGGUAAUUGCUCGUUGAAAUUUCUGUGGGAGGUAAUGAAACUUGAGAUGUCUUAUUUUGCCAACCUGUUCCAAACAUUUAUUCAUUUUUGUAAAAAUUACAUUUAGGAUUUUAACUUUCUUCUUUUCUCUCUCCUUCCCUGCAUUCCUGCCGUCCAACCUUUUCUUGGGUGUUAAAAAAAUACUGAUAUGAACAAUGUAGUAUAUUUCUCUUUGCCUACAUAUGUAUGUCUGGAUAAUAUAAGAUGUAUGACCAUCUUUAAUUUUUUAAAGAAUUAUUUAUAUUACUGUCUAAAGUCACUGGACCAGUUCAUAAUUUCCUUAGCAGAAUAAAAGGGGUGAUUUUUUCUCAGCAUCUUUGUUAACACUUAGUAUGAAAUGUUAUUACUAGGUUUUUAGUGACAUUCUCCUGAUUCUAGAAAAUUCUAUCUCAUUUCAAAUGAUUAUUAGGCUUUUCUAUGAAUUGCCCAAUUUAAUAUUUUGCUUGUUUACUGUGUUAACUUGUGUUAAUGUUUAGCUUUCAAUGCAUACUGAAUACAAAUUCUUGCAAAUAUCUCUAAGUCUGAGAUUAUAUUUUAGCUUUCUGGUACAUUUUUAGGAAGAGAAAUUGUUCAUUA
This 3685-nucleotide long non-coding RNA is filed under the name Homo sapiens (human). Its description in RNAcentral is "HSALNT0319964". The record is from RNAcentral. Lineage: Eukaryota; Metazoa; Chordata; Mammalia; Primates; Hominidae.